This 2900-nucleotide long non-coding RNA is filed under the name Capra hircus (goat). RNAcentral's name for it is "lncRNA (ENSCHIG00010001314.1)". The record is from RNAcentral. Lineage: Eukaryota; Metazoa; Chordata; Mammalia; Artiodactyla; Bovidae.
AUGGUACGCCUAGAUGGCCAGGUGAAGAUGGAGCACUGCCAAGCAAGCCCCAAGGAAAUGUGCAGCCUCCACAGGAUGUUUUAUUACUGGCUUCUGAGGAAGUGGUUAUCUUCCGUCCACAGACUUGGAACUGUGCAUCUCUGCCGAAUGUAUAUCUCAGUCUUGGCCACUCCCUGGAAUCUAACUCAUGGACCAAACUGCCAUCUUAACAUCUCAUUUAAGUUUCUUCUUGACCCUCUUGUAAUUUUGUACAGUCAUCACUACAUUGCUCACAAGAAUGACUCUUACCCUCAUCCAGGAGAUCACUGGGGAUCCUCUGCAUCAUUCACACGAGAAGAUGGUAGGUUGGAGCUUGGAACAAUGUUUGGAGGACUUUGCCUCCCCUUGGAAGCUAAAGCCCUGGCCGAUCUGAAGAAAGCCAAAGCCAUUCCCAGUUUUACUUUGCUAUUAGGAGAUAGAAAAAACCUUUAAGAUGGCCUUUGCAGCUCUAGCAAUCAGGUUUGUGCUGACCUCCACACCUCCAUCCCACCUUCUUCCCUCUCUGUUCAGCUUCCCCCUGUCAUACUCUCCCCUCAUGUUCUUUGUUUGGCCACACUGGCCUUGAUUUAGUUCCUUACACCAACCAGAAGCCUUUGUUUGUGUUAUUUCUUCUGCCCGGAAGGCUCUUCCCCUUCACUUCUCUCUUUGACCUAUUUAACCAACCUCUGUCUUACAAACUGAUGCUCAUGUAAGACCUUCUAGCGCUAGCUUUCUCAUACCCCCUACACUAAAUGUCCUGUUAAUUUCACAAAACACCCUGUGCCUCUGUGUCACAGGAGAAAAUCUCAGUCUGUACUUAUUCAUUUAUUUAUUUGACUGUUUUAAUGUCAUUCUCUUCUAACCAAGAGGAAAGAAAGCAUGUCUCUGCUCACCAUUGUAUCUCCUGCACUAUCACAGUGCCUGCCAGAGUUAACAAGUAUCUCUUGGAUUUAUGUGUGGUUGAAUGAAUGAGUUGGUAAAUGAAUAAUAAGAAAUCCACCCACAAAUUUGGUCAAGUUUGGUACCUAUGUUCUCAUUAUUAUCAAGUUGAAAAAUACUAGUUACUUGUUUUACUUAAGAGCUUCCUGUCUUUCUUCAGCCAGUUAGCUUAUUUUUAGAACUACUAUUCAUGAGUUGGAAAACCAAUUCUAUAGCUACCCUUAUCUUUUAUUCCUCUGAGCCUUGCUUGUUUUAAAAAUGAAGAGAGGAAAGUAAACACUCCAAUUUUGUGGUUCAGUUCACAUUUCAAUUUUUCUCUUCUUUCUUUUAUUCUGAACAUUGUAAAUGGUUUGAAAAACCAAGCUUUUGCAUUUAUAUUGCUCUUUUCAUCUACAGAUUUAUAAGAGCUUUAAAAACAUGUAUUAAUACAAUAGCAUUCCANNNNNNNNNNNNNNNNNNNNNNNNNNNNNNNNNNNNNNNNNNNNNNNNNNNNNNNNNNNNNNNNNNNNNNNNNNNNNNNNNNNNNNNNNNNNNNNNNNNUAUAAGAGCUUUAAAAACAUGUAUUAAUACAAUAGCAUUCCAAACUAAAAAAAUAAAGCCACAUUAAAUCUCCUUUAAGAUAUAGAUGCUGUUAAUAGGUUCACAAUAUGGCAGCAACAAUUUCAAAUACGAAUUAGGGGUAUUGAUUAAACCCUCUAAACUGACUAAUGGUGAGUUCCUCCUAGAGGCAUCCAUCAUUCUAAAUCCACCAGUAAUGACAUCUCUUCAAAGAGUAUAUGGUCUUAGAAAGCUCUAGCUUGAAAACUCAAGGAUUUAAAACAUUUGCAAAUGAAAAAAGGCAAGAUGACAUUUACUCUAUUUCUAACUUCUCUAGAAAUGUUACUGGAUUUUUAGCCUGACAUUUCCCCUAAUAUAUACAAAUAAAGCUAUAAAUUUUCCUUCAAGCACAAGUUUUUGUUGUACUCUGUGGAUUUUGAUAUACCAUAUUUCAGUUAUUUUUUCACUUCCAAACAUUUUCUAAUUUUCAUUGGAAUUUCUUUUUUUGACCCAUGGGUUCUUUACAAAUGUAUUACUUAGUUUCCAAACAUUUAACCAUCUUCUAGUUGAUUUUUAAUGUUGUUAUAGAUUUCAGUCUUGAUUCCACUGUAAUAAGAGAACAUUGUCUGUAUGACUUCAGCCUUUUGAAGUUUAAUACUAGCUGUAUGGUUUAUAUGUACAUUUAAAAAAUAUGUUCUAUGGGCAUUAAAAUGAAUGUUCUUAAAUGUUAUUGUACAUACGUGAAUUAGAUAAAGUUUAUUAGUUGUGCUAAUUCACAUAUUUUAUAUCCUUCCUGAUUUAUUCUAAUCUAUUUUAACAAUCACUGAGAAAUGCUUAAUAAAAUCUCUAACCACACUUGUGAAUUUGCCAAAUUUUGUUAAUUCUGCCAGUUUUUACUUAACAUAUUUUCUUAUGCUAUUAGUGCAUACAUGUUAAGAAUUAUAUCUUCUGGGAAAAUUGGCACUUUCAACAUCAUAAAAUGUCUCUAUUAGUUUUCUUUAGCCUCUUUUGUUUUUGUGAUUUUAACAUAGCUAUAUUAGGGUGUCUUUUUUUGUGGAGGAGUAGCUUUAUGUUUUUUUUUUUUUAAUUCCCAUCCUUUACUUUCAAUUUGUCUCCUUACAUUAAAUGUGUUUCUUCUAAGCAGCAUGUAGUUUUUUGUUAUCUGUUCUUACAGUCUUCGCCUUUUAAUUAGAAGAUGUGGUCUGCUUACAUUUAAUGUAUUUGUUGAUAUAUUUGAAUCUUCUCUUCAUCCCACCUAAUAUUUGUUGCUGGUUUCUCCUUUCUAGUUAUCUUUUGGGUGAAUGUGACAGAAACUUUCAUUUUCCCACUUCUUUGUCUCUGUCGGCUUGUUAACACAAUCUUUCAUCAUCCAUUUAGUGGUUACACUAGAGACUAUAAUAUACAUC